RNAcentral lists this ribosomal RNA (402 nucleotides) under uncultured bacterium. Its description in RNAcentral is "bacterial SSU rRNA". It matches the Rfam family "Bacterial small subunit ribosomal RNA", at positions 355 to 774 of the family's 1533-position model. The record is from RNAcentral.
UGGGGAAUCUUGCACAAUGGGGGCAACCCUGAUGCAGCGACGCCGCGUGAGCGAUGAAGCCCUUCGGGGCGUAAAGCUCUUUCGACCGGAACGAUAAUGACGGUACCGGGAGAAGAAGCUGCGGCUAACUACGUGCCAGCAGCCGCGGUAAUACGUAGGCAGCAAGCGUUGUUCGGAGUUACUGGGCGUAAAGAGUGCGUAGGCGGUUUUCUAAGUUCGGUGUGAAAUCUCCCGGCUUAACUGGGAGGGUGCGCCGAAGACUGGGAAGCUGGAGUGUGGGAAAGGCAGGCGGAAUUCCUGGUGUAGCGGUGAAAUGCGUAGAUAUCAGGAGGAACACCGGCGGUGUAGACGGCUUGCUAGACCAUAACUGGCGCUGAGGCACGAAAGCGUGGGUAGCAAACA